CGUUCUGUAAGCCUGUGAAGGUGUGUCGUGAGGCAUGCUGGAGGUAUCAGAAGUGCGAAUGCUGACAUAAGUAACGAUAAAGCGGGUGAAAAGCCCGCUCGCCGGAAGACCAAGGGUUCCUGUCCAACGUUAAUCGGGGCAGGGUGAGUCGACCCCUAAGGCGAGGCCGAAAGGCGUAGUCGAUGGGAAACGGGUUAAUAUUCCCGUACUUGGUGUUACUGCGAAGGGGGGACGGAGAAGGCUAUGUUGGCCGGGCGACGGUUGUCCCGGUUUAAGCGUGUAGGUGUGUGUUCCAGGUAAAUCCGGUUCACUUUAACACUGAGGC
Molecule: ribosomal RNA, 325 nt
Filed under: Salmonella enterica
Lineage: Bacteria; Pseudomonadati; Pseudomonadota; Gammaproteobacteria; Enterobacterales; Enterobacteriaceae
Description: partial 23S ribosomal RNA
Rfam family: Bacterial large subunit ribosomal RNA
Source: RNAcentral